This 482-nucleotide ribosomal RNA is filed under the name uncultured bacterium. RNAcentral's name for it is "partial 16S ribosomal RNA". It matches the Rfam family "Bacterial small subunit ribosomal RNA", at positions 28 to 523 of the family's 1533-position model. The record is from RNAcentral.
GACGAACGCUGGCGGCGUGCUUAACACAUGCAAGUCGAACGAUGAAACCUAGCUUGCUAGGUCGAUUGGUGGCGAACGGGUGAGUAACACGUGACUAACCUGUCCCUUUCUCUGGGAUAACGCUCCGAAAGGAGUGCUAAUACCGGAUACUCACACCGAGGCACAUGCCUUGGUGUGGAAAGUUUUUCGGAAAGGGAUGGAGUCGCGGCCUAUCAGCUUGUUGGUGAGGUAACGGCUCACCAAGGCGACGACGGGUAGCCGGCCUGAGAGGGCGACCGGCCACACUGGGACUGAGACACGGCCCAGACUCCUACGGGAGGCAGCAGUGGGGAAUAUUGCACAAUGGGCGCAAGCCUGAUGCAGCGACGCCGCGUGAGGGAUGAAGGUCUUCGGAUUGUAAACCUCUUUCAGUAGGGACGAAGCGAAAGUGACAGUACCUAAAGAAGAAGCACCGGCUAACUACGUGCCAGCCGCCGCAGUAA